This is a long non-coding RNA of Oncorhynchus gorbuscha (pink salmon), 2577 nucleotides long. RefSeq lists it as uncharacterized. The transcript has 3 exons. The record is from RefSeq and is a predicted model, not a curated record. Lineage: Eukaryota; Metazoa; Chordata; Actinopteri; Salmoniformes; Salmonidae.
ACAAAGUGAUAGCUUGCUGUGUGUGUUGGCAGUCAAUGUUAAUAUUUUAUCUCUGUUAGCUCAUUGCACAUUUUAUUGUGUUGCACAUUUUCUUCUGUUCCACUGAAUGCUGUUUUGAUGAGUAACUCAAUUUGUUUUCAGAAUGUAGUUGGAACAGAGAGCCCAGCAGGCUACACAACAACAUAGCUGGAAAACUACUCAAAACGUAUACAAAUAACUUAAAAAGAUUUGACUGCUAAAUGGAACUUAACUGGCUAAUUUUAGCUAGCUAACAUUAACGUAGCUCUCUGGCUAAUCAUCCAUGGACAUGGAAUCUUCUAGCUUGGAUGGAAGGAUUGAGAAGUGAACAAAGGGAAUGAGUACAGAAGUUAUCCAGCAUGCUGACUAAGACAUUUAAAUAGCCUAUGUUUUGCAAUCUAUCUCUUUCUCUAUCUCUCUCCGUCUAUCUGCCUGACAGCCAGAUUGCUGAGGGUCAACAUCGUCAAUGUACUUGCUAGGCUAAGUCUAACUUAGUGAAGACCUUAGGUAAUGGUUAAUCGGGAUUCUUCUGUCUUUACAGUUCCUGAAACAUGUCAAUGACCGGAUGCAUGGCUUCUACAGCAGUGCUUGGCCACCCACUCAGUUACCAGUGACCUAUUCUGCCACAUCUCAGGGAAAGGAGACAGCAGAACCACCCCUCCCUAAAUCCAUAGUCAUUGAAAGUAUUCCUUAAAGAGGUGGGGUUUCAGGUGUCUCCGGAAGGUGGUGAUUGACUCCGCUGUCCUGGCGUCGUGAGGGAGUUUGUUCCACCAAGCGCCGAUUGUGCAAUACCUUUCAUCCCCUCCCUCCAGAAAUUAGACAGUUUGAUGAGCUGACCUGGUGAUCCCUCUUCUCUGCGACUAUAUUAGACCGUAUACCACGGGUAUGACAAAACAUGUAUUUUUACUGCUCUAAUUACGUUGGUAACCAUAUUAUAAUAUCAAUAAGGCACCUCGGGUGUUUGGAGUAUAUGGCCAAUAUACCAUGGCUAAGGGCUGCGCCUGGCACUCCGCGAUGCGUUGUGCGUAAGAACACGACCCAUCGUAUGAGAGUUCUCAUGUUUAUGUUGAGAAUCAGAGAAUACUGAAUACUUUAUUUGACAUCUUCAUGCUAUCUCCUGUUAACACUAGCAGAGGAAGGAUGCGUACCGUGGCUAGGUCAAGUGCGGUCUGUCCCUCCUGUUUCUUCAUGGUAGGGUCAGCUCUGUGGGCCAGCAUUAGAGCACACAGUGCAGGACGGCACUUCUGAGUCGGCUCGUAGACAGGGGUGAAGGCCCACUUGUCUGUAGCAUUCACACACAUGUUGAACUUGAUCAGGAGGGCUGCAAUAUCCACGUGCUGUAGAGCAGCUAUUCCCAAACUGGGGUACACGCAAUACCAUCAGGGUUACGCCAAAUAAAAAUAUAUACAAAAAUUAAAUGUAUUUUUCUUCUUUUUUUCUUCCCAUUUUCAAACAGUCCAUUUAUAUUUUCCAACGGGGCUAUACAUUUGGGUGACGUUUUUCUCUUGCCUGAGUUGCCUCGUUUCACUGCCAAAAAUAAAAUUAAACCAUCUAGUGUUCAGCAAAAUAACAACACAACGUCAAAUACAGGUAGCCUAGUCAAAUAAUUAACAUCCAAUCACAUUAACCGUUACUAUCUUACGGGAAUUCCACUAAUGGUCCGUAUGUACCUGGGAAAGCACCGAAAAACAGACAGGGACGUUGGACCAUCGAAGAGGCGGAAAUAUGAUGAGAACGAGAUUGAUUUGGGGUUCACUUAUAUUGGGAGUAGUGCCUUUCCUCAGCCACAGUGUGUUAUAUGUGCAAAAGUACUAUCUCACAACUCAAUGAAACCUUCACUCUUGCGCAGACAUUUACAAACAAAACAUGCCAAUUUGAAAAAUAAGCCACAGGAGUAUUUCAGUGAGAAUUCAGAUGACUUUCGAGUAGUAAGACAUGUAUAAAAGCAACAGAUACCAGAUCGAGCCUCACCAGGAGCAAGUGCUUUUCUUGAAGCCCCUGCCUGUCUAUUUCUUGUCCAGAAAAGGAGCAUUUAUACGAUCUAUUUCAUUGAGAUAACAGGUCAGAGUGCAGGCACAGCUACGAUUCAAGUCCAUAGUCUUCUGAAUCACCAGCUCUGCCUGACACGUCAGCAAUGCAGGGUGGCAAGCCUGCUCGAAAGUCCAAGCGGAUGGCUGUUUGCGAAGUGAGUUGGUGCUUCGGCAGAGAAAAUAAUCGAACAUGGGGCUCAGCCCACGACCCUGAGAUUUUAAGAGUCUCAUGCUCUACCGACUGAGCUAGCCAGGCACCUCAACGAUAAUAUUGACUUGGUCCGAAUAUCGUACAGCUCCGAUUGUGCAAAAUAUGGUGAUUAGUGAGAGUGUUGUUGAUGGAUCCUGUGGUGCAAUCUGUUAGCGUGGACACUUUGCAAUCUGUUAGUAGGACAUUUUUAUAUGUAAUAGGUAUGUUCACUGAACUUGUGAAGGUGGUAAAUGACCUUUUAAUGGCAUCAGACCGAGGCUCUGCAUCUGUCCUUGUGCUCCUAGACCUUAGUGCUGCUUUUCAAAUCAAAUCAAAUUU